Molecule: ribosomal RNA, 1067 nt
Filed under: Polyandrocarpa misakiensis
Lineage: Eukaryota; Metazoa; Chordata; Ascidiacea; Stolidobranchia; Styelidae
Description: SSU rRNA
Rfam family: Eukaryotic small subunit ribosomal RNA
Source: RNAcentral
CAGCAGCCGCGGUAAUUCCAGCUCCAACAGUGUAUGCUAAAGUUGUUGCGGUUGAAAAGCUCGUAGUUGGAUUUUGGGCGGGCGCGGUCGGUCCGCCGCAGGGCGUGUUACUGGUCGCGGCCGCCUCGAGCUUCGGUUCUCCGUCGGUGCUCUUGACUGAGUGUCGGCGGUGGCCGAGAAGUUUACUUUGAAAAAAUUAGAGUGUUCAAAGCAGCUGCUCGCCUGAAUAGUGUUGCAUGGAAUAAUGGAAUAGGACCUCGGUUCUAUUUUGUUGGCUUUCGGAGCGCGAGGUAAUGAUUAAAAGGGACAGACGGGGGCUUCCGUACUCUGCCGCUAGAGGUGAAAUUCUUGGAUCGGCGGAAGACGAACUACUGCGAAAGCAUUCGCCAAGAAUGUUUUCUUUAAUCAAGAGCGAAAGUCAGAGGUUCGAAGACGAUCAGAUACCGUCCUAGUUCUGACUAUAAACGAUGCCAACUAGCGAUCGGGAGGCGUUACCAUGACGACCUUCCCGGCAGCUUCCGGGAAACCAAAGUCUUUGGGUUCCGGGGGAAGUAUGGUUGCAAAGCUGAAACUUAAAGGAAUUGACGGAAGGGCACCACCAGGAGUGGAGCCUGCGGCUUAAUUUGACUCAACACGGGGAAACUCACCCGGCCCGGACACAGGUAGGAUUGACAGAUUGAGAGCUCUUUCUUGAUUCUGUGGGUGGUGGUGCAUGGCCGUUCUUAGUUGGUGGAGCGAUUUGUCUGGUUAAUUCCGAUAACGAACGAGACUCUGGCAUGCUAAAUAGUUACGCGACCUUCUCGGUCGGCGUCUAACUUCUUAGAGGGACUAGUGGCGCUUAGCCACACGAGAUUGAGCAAUAACAGGUCUGUGAUGCCCUUAGAUGUUCGGGGCGCACGCGCGCUACACUGAAUGGAGCAGCGAGUGCUUUGCCUAGGCCGAAAGGUCCGGGUAACCCGUUGAACCUCAUUCGUGAUUGGGAUAGGGACUUGCAAUUGUUUCCCUUGAACGAGGAAUUCCCAGUAAGCGCAAGUCAUCAACUUGCGUUGAUUACGUCCCUGCCCUUU